UACGUAGGGUGCAAGCGUUGUCCGGAAUUAUUGGGCGUAAAGAGCUCGUAGGCGGUCUGUCGCGUCGGCUGUGAAAACUCGGGGCUCAACCCCGAGCCUGCAGUCGAUACGGGCAGACUAGAGUGCUGUAGGGGAGACUGGAAUUCCUGGUGUAGCGGUGGAAUGCGCAGAUAUCAGGAAGAACACCGGUGGCGAAGGCGGCUCUCUGGGCCUUACCUGACGCUGAGGAGCGAAAGCGUGGGUAGCGAACAGG
Molecule: ribosomal RNA, 253 nt
Filed under: uncultured bacterium
Lineage: Bacteria
Description: partial 16S ribosomal RNA
Rfam family: Bacterial small subunit ribosomal RNA
Source: RNAcentral